GUUAAAAAGCUCGUAGUUGGAUUUCUGCGGGGGCGGGGCGGCCGGUUGCUUACAGCAACUCGAGCUAGCACUUCCCCUGCAUCCUGCCGCGAACCGUGCUACCAUUAGUUUGGUGGCGCCGGGGAUCGGCUCGUUUACUUUGAGAAAAAUAGAGUGUUCAAAGCAGGCCACACGCCUUGAAUAAGUUAGCAUGGAAUAAUGAUAAAGGACUUCGGUUCUAUUUUGUUGGUGUUCGGGACUGAAGUAAUGAUUGAUAGGGACAGUUGGGGCGGCCCGUAUUCCAAAGCGAGAGGUGAAAUUCUUAGACCUUCGGAAGACGAACAGCUGCGAAAGCGUUCCGCAAGGAUGUUCCCUUUGAUCAAGAACGAAAGUUGGGGGAUCGAAGACGAUCAGAUACCGUCGUAGUCUCAACUAUAAACUAUACCAGCUAGGGAUCGGCCAACGUUUAAUUACACCG
This 457-nucleotide ribosomal RNA is filed under the name uncultured marine eukaryote. Its description in RNAcentral is "bacterial SSU rRNA". It matches the Rfam family "Eukaryotic small subunit ribosomal RNA", at positions 618 to 1076 of the family's 1831-position model. The record is from RNAcentral.